AGAAUUAAUUCUGAAUAUGUCUAUUGCGGAAAAUACAAAGAGACAGACUUUACAUCUAAGAGAAUGAGUGAACUUAUAAUAAUGGAUUA
Non-coding RNA from Sturnus vulgaris (Common starling), 89 nucleotides. The record is from RefSeq and is a predicted model, not a curated record. Lineage: Eukaryota; Metazoa; Chordata; Aves; Passeriformes; Sturnidae.